GACGAACGCUGGCGGCGUGCUUAAUACAUGCAAGUCGAGCGAGGCCCAUCCAGUGGCAACACUGGGGAAGGCCGAGCGGCGAACGGGUGAGUAACACGUGAGCAACCUGCCCCGAACGUACUGGAAGUAAACAUCGGGAAACCCGGGUAGCUAAUAACCGGACUUGUCCCCCACCCUGACCGCCAUGAUCGGGUGAGGAAAGAUCUAUCGCUUCGGGAGGGGCUCGCGGCCUAUCAGCAGUUGGCGGGGUAACGGCCCACCAAGGCGUCGACGGGUAGCUGGUCUGAGAGGACGACCAGCCACACUGGGACUGAGACACGGCCCAGACU
This 329-nucleotide ribosomal RNA is filed under the name uncultured bacterium. RNAcentral's name for it is "bacterial SSU rRNA". It matches the Rfam family "Bacterial small subunit ribosomal RNA", at positions 28 to 337 of the family's 1533-position model. The record is from RNAcentral.